RNAcentral lists this ribosomal RNA (1033 nucleotides) under Staphylococcus aureus. Its description in RNAcentral is "partial 23S ribosomal RNA". It matches the Rfam family "Bacterial large subunit ribosomal RNA", at positions 1508 to 2538 of the family's 2925-position model. The record is from RNAcentral. Lineage: Bacteria; Bacillati; Bacillota; Bacilli; Caryophanales; Staphylococcaceae.
ACGUCUAAGCAGUAAGGCUGAGUAUUAGGCAAAUCCGGUACUCGUUAAGGCUGAGCUGUGAUGGGGAGAAGACAUUGUGUCUUCGAGUCGUUGAUUUCACACUGCCGAGAAAAGCCUCUAGAUAGAAAAUAGGUGCCCGUACCGCAAACCGACACAGGUAGUCAAGAUGAGAAUUCUAAGGUGAGCGAGCGAACUCUCGUUAAGGAACUCGGCAAAAUGACCCCGUAACUUCGGGAGAAGGGGUGCUCUUUAGGGUUAACGCCCAGAAGAGCCGCAGUGAAUAGGCCCAAGCGACUGUUUAUCAAAAACACAGGUCUCUGCUAAACCGUAAGGUGAUGUAUAGGGGCUGACGCCUGCCCGGUGCUGGAAGGUUAAGAGGAGUGGUUAGCUUCUGCGAAGCUACGAAUCGAAGCCCCAGUAAACGGCGGCCGUAACUAUAACGGUCCUAAGGUAGCGAAAUUCCUUGUCGGGUAAGUUCCGACCCGCACGAAAGGCGUAACGAUUUGGGCACUGUCUCAACGAGAGACUCGGUGAAAUCAUAGUACCUGUGAAGAUGCAGGUUACCCGCGACAGGACGGAAAGACCCCGUGGAGCUUUACUGUAGCCUGAUAUUGAAAUUCGGCACAGCUUGUACAGGAUAGGUAGGAGCCUUUGAAACGUGAGCGCUAGCUUACGUGGAGGCGCUGGUGGGAUACUACCCUAGCUGUGUUGGCUUUCUAACCCGCACCACUUAUCGUGGUGGGAGACAGUGUCAGGCGGGCAGUUUGACUGGGGCGGUCGCCUCCUAAAAGGUAACGGAGGCGCUCAAAGGUUCCCUCAGAAUGGUUGGAAAUCAUUCAUAGAGUGUAAAGGCAUAAGGGAGCUUGACUGCGAGACCUACAAGUCGAGCAGGGUCGAAAGACGGACUUAGUGAUCCGGUGGUUCCGCAUGGAAGGGCCAUCGCUCAACGGAUAAAAGCUACCCCGGGGAUAACAGGCUUAUCUCCCCCAAGAGUUCACAUCGACGGGGAGGUUUGGCACCUCGAUGUCGGCUC